This is a long non-coding RNA of Dromaius novaehollandiae (emu), 3034 nucleotides long. RefSeq lists it as uncharacterized. The record is from RefSeq and is a predicted model, not a curated record. NCBI's taxonomy places the organism in Eukaryota, Metazoa, Chordata, Aves, Casuariiformes, Dromaiidae. The transcript is spliced from 4 exons.
AGGCGAGGGCGAUGCCGCCGAGGCGGCCGAGCGAGCGGGUGUCCAGGCUGGCCGCCCCCGACACCAGGCUGCACACCACCAGCGGCAGGAUCACCAUGCGCAGCAUGCGCAGCAGCAGCUCCCCCGGGAAGGCCAGUGCCCCUGUUCCCAGCGCUGACGGGAGAGUGAGCUAAUGACGAUCGCCUGUGAGAUCCGGACAACGCGAAAGCGGGAGCCGUGCAAACUGGGGUUUCCUUCCCCAAGGGAUUGGACACGUGGCUUCAGCGCUCAUGGAUAGACCCGAAGAUCCCUAUCCCAUGACUGGAAUCCCUGGGAAUUAUCACAAUCUUAAGUCCAUUAGGACUUACUCUACCCACAAAGACUACUGAAAAUGGUCCUGAAGUGGCUACUCCCUGCUGUCUUCUAAAAUCCAGUGGAAAAAAGCAAAAUGUUACUCACCUUUGGCCUUGGGCUGUGGCAGAAGAAAUCCUAUUGGUUUUGCUAAUAUUACUCAUCUGCAUUGGUGUUCCCGUAUGCCAACUGAAAAGCAAGGGGAGAUAUUCAGGGAAGUGUGAACAAGAAGAACACAUGAAAUCAGAAAAGUCAUCCAUGGCAGCACAGCAUAUGAGACUAAUGCAAGAGUUAAAAUAGAGCCUCUUCCACCUUAGGAAUCAGUAGUAGCAUCCUCCCCUCCUAGAUUUUCCCAUGUUCUUGUGGGGUUGAGUUUGCCCAGAGCACUCCCAGGAGCACAGCCAGGGGGCCUGCAGGAGCACAGUCACCAAAAUCAGAGAUUCCACUCCAUGUUUUUUAACUCCUGCUAAGGCUGGUUGGUUGUAGCGAGCCAUCCCUUGGGGAGGAACAACACCUGGACGCACGGAUGCCUGUGUAUUUAUAUGCUUCCUGUUCAUGACAUUAUGAGUGUUCUGACUCUUAAUUUCUUCUUCCUUUUUUUCUGUUUUUAUUUCCAAUUUAAACACUGAUCCAAACAGCUAUACUUCUUCUCUUAAUAUCUCUUCAGAUGAUAGAAUGCAAAGACUUUUGCCACACAGAAAAUGAUUCAGCGUGUGAACAUCCCACUAUAUGAAUGCACUGUGGCCCUGGGGGCACUAAGAAGCCUUAAGGGUCCUGACCAGCCUCUACUGGGGCCUCCACCCACCCCUUCCCCUAGGCCCAAGAGCCCCAUCUCAGCUCAGCCCGGGGUCCUCAGUCCCUGCCUGAGCUACAGUGGAGGAGUGCCAGUCUCCAGCUCAGGCAUAGCUACAGCCAUGCCCCGUCUGGCCAUGGGCCCCAUUGAUCCAGACCCCGACCCGUGGGCUGACAUCCCAGCUUGACCUCAGACCUGCCUUUUCACCAUGGACCUGCUUGGCAAUCACUGGACCUGAUCCUGACCUGCAGAUUGACUUCCCCCCUUGACUUCAGACCUCUUCACCACGAACUUGCCUGGUGAUCUCAACUCCUGGUUCAACCUGGCCUCAGUUUCUGGCAGCGCCCGCCCUGCUCGCCCUGCUCGGGGGCAGUGGGACAGGCCCUGGCUGGCUCCCCCCCCAACUCCCCAUCCCCUAGGGAGCAGCCAGCCCUUGCUGCUUCCUGACAGAAUGAACAAGUGCAAGGCAAAGCUAACUGUUUUUCUGUGCCCUGUGAGAGCUCAUGGAUGGCUGCAGAGAUUAACACUGAAGCCUGCUGACUUAUUCAGUAGCAAGCAUUGACUGAUCUGUUGUGUCAUGUUUUCAUUUCGAUGCUUGUAGAUCUUGGUAGCUUUCCAGUGAAUGAGUUUGCAUGUUUCCAAUGUCCAUCCAGCUGGCUCUUCUAAAUUAGGGGGUUUGACUUUCCCUAGAGUGACUUGAAGAAUUUUUUUGUCUUAGAAAGAUUUCACCUGCACAGGGGUAGAGUCCAUCCUCCAGAAAACAGCAGAGGGAUCAUAAGCAGGCAAAAACAAACAAACAAACAAACAAAACUAGAAAUAGGUUCCUUUUAAACAAAAACAUAUUUCCUUCUGCUUUGGGUGAGGAGAGAGCAAGGCGCCCACUCAAAUGUAGUUUUCACCACUGGCCUAGGAAUGAAGAGGUCCUGAUGAUUUGCAGUCAAAUUCUGCUGCAUAUGAUUUUUUGAUUUUUUGAAAUUCCAGCUUCAGUGAAGGCAAUGAGAAAAAUCUUCACAGCCGUAGUGGAAUCCCCCUCUAUGUUUUAGCACCAAGCAAGCAGAGAGCAGGACUUCUUUUCAGCCAUUUCCCUCCUCCUAAAAUCCUAUUUUGUCUAGGGAACUUGAUAUCAAGAACUCUGAGGAAGGGUUUCCAAUUCCUCUUUCCUACUGCUCAUCCAUUCCCAUUGUUAAUAUUUACCAAAAUCUUGCUGAAAAUCAGUGGGACAGACACUUGGGGUGGGGUUUAUGUAAUAUAUCUUUCGUCACCUAAAAGUUCAACGUUUAGUCUCAGCUAAUCUUGCUUUCUCCAUAGUCAGUAAAGAUAGAUGGAAGGUCACCUGCUCCUAAAAGAAAUGUCUAAGACAAGAAUUGCCCAUGGGAGUACCUACCUCUCCACUGAGUAUGGAAAAGACCUAGACAACUGGCUUACAACUUUUAGACAGGUAAAUUUGGGUCACGUGAAUCUCCCCUCCCCACCGACAAUGCAGGUCUCAGCAAAAAAAGACUAUACAACAGUAUUAUAGGCAAUCAUUAUUUUCCUCCCUUGGUGACUUCUAUAUAUCUCAUACUCACCUUACAAGCUCAAGAUGAUUCUUUUUUUCCCUCAGAACAGAUUUAACCUGGCAUUUGAGCAGCAUCCUGCUUUUUUCUGUCACUGACCUCUAAAAUAUAAAUGUACUCUGAGGACAUCCACAUCUGGAGCUAGCUCUAAACUUCAUGGUUGCCUCUGUAUAAAACCAAAGGGACAGCAAGAGCUGUGACCUCUGGAGAAAGCCAGAUUUGAAUGCAAACUUCACAACUGCUCAUCUCAGCCAGAAAGGAAGGUCUUAAAGCCAGGAUCUGCUCUGUGAUUUUGUUUUUGCGGAAGGAAAAAAAUGGAAUCCAGGCUGCGUUUUCAGGGCUUUAUUAUAUCUAU